GGCUCAGGAUGAACGCUGGCGGCGUGCUUAACACAUGCAAGUCGAACGAAGCACUAUUGACAGAUUCUUCGGAUGAUGGAUUUAGUGACUGAGUGGCGGACGGGUGAGUAACGCGUGGGUAACCUGCCUCAUACAGGGGGAUAACAGUUAGAAAUGACUGCUAAUACCGCAUAAGCGCACGGUAUCGCAUGAUACAGUGUGAAAAACUCCGGUGGUAUGAGAUGGACCCGCGUCUGAUUAGCUAGUUGGCGGGGUAACGGCCCACCAAGGCGACGAUCAGUAGCCGACCUGAGAGGGUGACCGGCCACAUUGGGACUGAGACACGGCCCAAACUCCUACGGGAGGCAGCAGUGGGGGAUAUUGCACAAUGGAGGAAACUCUGAUGCAGCAACGCCGCGUGAGGGAAGACGGUCUUCGGAUUGUAAACCUAAGUUAUCAGGGACGAUUAUGACGGUACCUGAAGAGAAAGCUCCGGCUAACUACGUG
Molecule: ribosomal RNA, 486 nt
Filed under: uncultured bacterium
Lineage: Bacteria
Description: bacterial SSU rRNA
Rfam family: Bacterial small subunit ribosomal RNA
Source: RNAcentral